GACGAACGCUGGCGGCGUGCUUAACACAUGCAAGUCGAACGGAAAGGCCCUGCUUUUGUGGGGUGCUCGAGUGGCGAACGGGUGAGUAACACGUGAGUAACCUGCCCUUGACUUUGGGAUAACUUCAGGAAACUGGGGCUAAUACCGGAUAGGAGCUCCUGCUGCAUGGUGGGGGUUGGAAAGUUUCGGCGGUUGGGGAUGGACUCGCGGCUUAUCAGCUUGUUGGUGGGGUAGUGGCUUACCAAGGCUUUGACGGGUAGCCGGCCUGAGAGGGUGACCGGCCACAUUGGGACUGAGAUACGGCCCAGACUCCUACGGGAGGAAGCAGUGGGGAAUAUUGCACAAUGGGCGGAAGCCUGAUGCAGCAACGCCGCGUGCGGGAUGACGGCCUUCGGGUUGUAAACCGCUUUCGCCUGUGACGAAGCGUGAGUGACGGUAAUGGGUAAAGAAGCACCGGCUAAAUACGUG
RNAcentral lists this ribosomal RNA (468 nucleotides) under uncultured bacterium. RNAcentral describes it as "partial 16S ribosomal RNA". It matches the Rfam family "Bacterial small subunit ribosomal RNA", at positions 28 to 507 of the family's 1533-position model. The record is from RNAcentral.